This 497-nucleotide ribosomal RNA is filed under the name uncultured bacterium. RNAcentral describes it as "partial 16S ribosomal RNA". It matches the Rfam family "Bacterial small subunit ribosomal RNA", at positions 28 to 507 of the family's 1533-position model. The record is from RNAcentral.
GACGAACGCUGGCGGCGUGCCUAAUACAUGCAAGUUGAGCGAUGAAGAUUUGUGCUUGCACCCAUUUGAAGAGCAGCGAACGUGGGAGUAACGCGUUGGGAAUCUGCUUUUCAGUGGGGGACAACGUUUGAAAACGAAUGCUAAUACCGCAUAACAUCUUUAAACAUAAGUUUUAAGUUAGAAAGAUGCAUUUGCAUCACUCAAAGAUGAUUCCGCGUUGUAUUAGCCUGUUGGUGAGGUAAAGGCUCACCAAGGCGAUGAUACAUAGCCUACCUGAGAGGGUGACAGGCGCCAUUCUGACUGAGACACCGCCCACACUCCUACGGGGAGAAGCAGUAGAGACUCUUCGGAGAUGGACGAGAGUCUGACCGAGCAACGCCGCGAGAGUGAAGACGGUUUUCGGAUCGUAAAACACUGUUGGUAGAGAAGAAAGUUGGUGAGAGUGGAAAGCUCAUCAAGUGACGGUAACUACACAGAAAGGGACGGCUAACUACGUG